Molecule: long non-coding RNA, 1694 nt
Organism: Crotalus tigris (Tiger rattlesnake)
Lineage: Eukaryota; Metazoa; Chordata; Lepidosauria; Squamata; Viperidae
Exons: 2
Source: RefSeq, a predicted model, not a curated record
UUUCUCUUGAAUCAUCUCCAGAACAUGACAAAUUCAAGGUGCCCAAAAAACAAACUGUAUUUUAAACAUGCAUAAAGACAAAGUGCUUCAGACAUGAAACCCAUAUACCCGUGGCUAGUACAUGAACUGAAAUCAGACACAUUCCCAAUUUAUGAUCCUCCCCCUGGGUAAAGCCCACGGGAUGCUGACUGGACAUUGAAGGUGUUCACCUGACCCUGGGACGCUGCAGUCAUCAUGACUAUAAAGCAGUUGCCAAGCAUCCAGAUUUUGAUCCCAUGACCAUGGGGAUGCUGCAACGGAUGUAAGUGUUAAAAAUAGUCAUUAGUCCCUUUUUUUUCAAUGCCCCUGUAACUUUGAACGAUCACUGAAUGAACUGUUGUGAAUCAAGGACUACCUAUAUUAUUCCAUAAAAUGUAGAACAAAAGCUCAUCAAACACCCUGCCCAAUCUGCUAUAAUAUCUGUGAAUUGCUGCUUCUGUGGGAAAUAGCAACAGACAAUAGUGCAACAGUGUAAAAAGGAUUAGCUAUAUACACUGCUAUAUUAAAAUGAGUUUGAAUAAAUUACCCCCUCUCUACACACUGCCUAUGUAAGCGCCUGAAAAGUCCUGAAUAUCAAGGGAACAGGUGGUGCCUCUGCAGAUCUGUACAAAAUUAUGAUAUUCCUUAAAGACUGAGAUUAGUGCUAGGGGUAAUGAGUCAAUGGGAGAUCAAUAUCAGAAGCUACAGAUUAGCUGUUGAAGCUCCUGAUGAAGCAGAACUGAAUCAAAUGUUCUGAAAUAACUGUGGUUUUAUAUAUUUCAUUAGAAGACCCCUGCAUGCAUCUUCCAUUAGCAUUUAAAGCAAUUGCCAGGCACUUUACAUUGGGUCUUUUUUUUGGUCUUUUCCAUUGUGAAGAGAUGUGAAGGACAUACGACUUAGAUGCCUUCUCCACUAUCUGUCCAUAAUCAUUAUCCCAAAUGGAUAAAUUAUCAGAGCGAAAUGGCAACAAGGACCUCUUUUGAAUUAGUGGACAUACUAAUGUGUGGACAAAUCUCUGAGAAAGAAAUAAAUGCCAGUAACAUGUUCGCUUUCCCUUUGCCCCUUUCCCUACAUUCACACAUACUGACAAUGGAAAAGAGACUAAAGAAGCAGCAUCUGAAAAAAGUCCUCUGUCUUGAGUCAAGCUCCAUUUUGGAUAACUGGCAACAGUAUAGAACUGAUUUGCCAUUGCCCUCUUUCAUAUUUUCUUAUCUUCCUACCGUAGCUUCAUCUGCAACCCUAAGAUUCCCUGGUGUUCCCCAUCCAAGUAGUAACCAAGCCAACCUUGUUUAGCUUUGGGUCCACUAGCUGUUGCCACCAACUACAGGUCAAUAGUACUGUGAAAAUAGUCACAUUCAUCCUUUAGGGCCAUAGUCUACUUCAUGUGACGCACAGCUUAUAGUCCUAUUAAUUUUAAGGUGCCACAACACUCUCUAUAUUUUUGCCGCAAAUGUUAAGGCAGGCAGCCAUUAGGAAACUCCUAACGGACUUAUUUCCGAAAUCUUACUAGAGAGGGAGAUUACGAAGAGGAGGCCCAGCGUUUCCUGAGGAGAGCUUAUUCCUCUUUGCCCAGGAAGAAAUCAAUUUCCAGCCUGCAGUGUAAUUUUAAAAAAUGAUCCAUUGGAUCUGAUAGAAAAAUGUUAACUAUUUUAUUAAACCAGAAGAUGGUAACUGUG